AUUGAACGCUGGCGGCAUGCCUUACACAUGCAAGUCGAACGGCAGCGGACCUUCGGGUGCCGGCGAGUGGCGAACGGGUGAGUAAAGUAUCGGAACGUACCUUUCAGUGGGGGAUAACUGUCCGAAAGGACAGCUAAUACCGCAUAUUCUGUGAGCAGGAAAGCAGGGGAUCGCAAGACCUUGCGCUGAUUGAGCGGCCGAUAUCAGAUUAGCUAGUUGGUGAGGUAAAGGCUCACCAAGGCGACGAUCUGUAGCGGGUCUGAGAGGAUGAUCCGCCACACUGGAACUGAGACACGGUCCAGACUCCUACGGGAGGCAGCAGUGGGGAAUUUUGGACAAUGGGGGCGAACCCUGAUCCAGCCAUGCCGCGUGAAGGAUUAAGGCCCUCUGGGUUGGUAAACUUCUUUUCUUUGGGUAAUAAAAACUACCGUUUCUACGGAGCUUGAAGGUACCAGAGGAAUAAAGCACCGGCUAACUACCGUGCCAGCAGCCGCGGUAAAGUAGACGU
RNAcentral lists this ribosomal RNA (508 nucleotides) under uncultured bacterium. RNAcentral describes it as "bacterial SSU rRNA". It matches the Rfam family "Bacterial small subunit ribosomal RNA", at positions 30 to 532 of the family's 1533-position model. The record is from RNAcentral.